Molecule: long non-coding RNA, 950 nt
Organism: Orbicella faveolata
Lineage: Eukaryota; Metazoa; Cnidaria; Anthozoa; Scleractinia; Merulinidae
Source: RefSeq, a predicted model, not a curated record
AAUAUGACGACAACAGGGUUUAGUUUUUUAUGGCUUACACUUUACAUUGGAAAACUAAACUUUAGUCGCAUCAGUAAACUUCCCACCACGUGUAACCAAAGCCUAUGCGUACAGCAAUGCGACAAUUUGUUGUUCUUCGGCACCAAUGAGAAUCAGAGAAAGCAACUUUUUGUUUGGCUGUAUUUGUUUCUAAAGGAAGGAAGGACUGUUUAAUAUCAGUGAUAAGCUCCUUGUGUCUCUAGACAUUUUGAUGGAGCUCAGGGAGUUCUUCAAGUGUGGAGUCCCUCUCACAGUUGCCAUACAUUGAGAACAAGCUUGCUGUUCUUUCAUGAAAAGCAAAACGUUAACUGCCUGAAGUCUUGACAGUCAAAUCUGUGGUAUUUGUGGGGUUUUGGGUGAGGUGUAUUUGGAUGAUGGUAACCAGAAGAAUUGUUGCAGCCGCAAUGAGAUUUCCUAUGCUCUUGAAUCACAGCGGUUGACCACUGGAGGACAUCCACUGCCAUUGGAUGAAUUUCUGGAAAGAAUCAAGUGCUAUUUUGUGGAGUGCAACACAUACACCCGUUCUGCAAAACCACUAAACUUUCAUGUUUCGGAAAUCCCACCAGUUGUUGCACCAAAGCUCUGUGGUGCAAAUAUUUGGAAUACAGAAAUGGAAAAGAAAAGUCAGUUUUUAAAAAAGCAGAGUAAAUCUGUCGAGGGUGAUCCAGCCCUGCUCCACGCCAAGAUUAGAGAUUGUGCUUUUGACAUGUCCAACAUACAAAAUUUAUCAUUGCCUGAACUUAAGAAGUUGUCUCUGGACCUUGGUAUUUCUGUUUCUCAAAAGUCGAAGGUACGUUUGUAUUUGAUUCGCUGCAUUGUAGGUACAUGUUCAUGUAUAUAUAUGAGACCUAAGUAAAAUGCUUCUCUUUUUUUCAUUAAUAUUAUCAAUGUAGCUGAAGUAAUGUUAUGAA